This 262-nucleotide long non-coding RNA is filed under the name Manihot esculenta (cassava). RNAcentral's name for it is "long non-coding RNA (MESC_LNC004789)". The record is from RNAcentral. Lineage: Eukaryota; Viridiplantae; Streptophyta; Magnoliopsida; Malpighiales; Euphorbiaceae.
AGAGAAAACAUUAGUGAGUGUGGAGGUAAAAGGAGAGCUGAGUGAGAAGAGUGAAGAAUUCAGCAAGUCUUCCUUUUAUUGUAAAGAGAGAGAGUUGAAGAAAGCAUACUUAGGGAAGAGAGCUUUGAUUAUGUUGCAUUUUAGUUUCAAUUUUAUGAUUGAGACUAACCCUACUAAUGAAUUGCCUAGUUCUUUUUCUAAGUUAUUGCAGGAUUUUGCGAAUGUAUUUCCUGAGGAGGUGCCAUCUGGGUUGCCACCCAUU